CCUACGGGCAGCAGCAGUGGGGAAUAUUGGGCAAUGGAGGCAACUCUGACCCAGCAACGCCGCGUGAAUGAUGAAGGUCUUCGGAUUGUAAAGUUCUGUGAUGGGGGAUGAACACAAUGACGGUACCCCAAUAGCAAGCCACGGCUAACUACGUGCCAGCACCCGCGGUAAUACGUAGGUGGCAAGCGUUAUCCGGAAUGACUGGGCGUAAAGGGUGCGUAGGCGGACGCUUAAGUCAGUGGUAAAAUUGCGGGGCUCAACCUCGUCGAGCCGUUGAAACUGGGUGCCUUGAGUGGGCGAGAAGUACGCGGAAUGCGUGGUGUAGCGGUGAAAUGCAUAGAUAUCACGCAGAACUCCGAUUGCGAAGGCAGCGUACCGGCGCCCAACUGACGCUGAAGCACGAAGGCGUGGGUAUCGAACAGGAUUAGAUACCCGGGUAGUC
This 442-nucleotide ribosomal RNA is filed under the name uncultured bacterium. Its description in RNAcentral is "partial 16S ribosomal RNA". It matches the Rfam family "Bacterial small subunit ribosomal RNA", at positions 338 to 795 of the family's 1533-position model. The record is from RNAcentral.